GACCUCGGAUCAGGUAGGAAUACCCGCUGAACUUAAGCAUAUCAAUAAGCGGAGGAAAAGAAACCAACAGGGAUUGCCCUAGUAACGGCGAGUGAAGCGGCAACAGCUCAAAUUUGAAAUCUGGCUCUCGGGCCCGAGUUGUAAUUUGUAGAGGAUGCUUUUGAUGCGGUGCCUUCCGAGUUCCCUGGAACGGGACGCCAUAGAGGGUGAGAGCCCCGUCUGGUUGGAUGCCAAAUCUCUGUAAAGCUCCUUCGACGAGUCGAGUAGUUUGGGAAUGCUGCUCUAAAUGGGAGGUAUAUGUCUUCUAAAGCUAAAUACCGGCCAGAGACCGAUAGCGCACAAGUAGAGUGAUCGAAAGAUGAAAAGCACUUUGAAAAGAGAGUUAAAAAGUACGUGAAAUUGUUGAAAGGGAAGCGUUUAUGACCAGACUUGGGCUUGGUUAAUCAUCUAGGGGUUCUCCCCAGUGCACUUUUUCCAGUCCAGGGCAAGCAUCAGUU
RNAcentral lists this ribosomal RNA (497 nucleotides) under Fusarium chlamydosporum. Its description in RNAcentral is "partial large subunit ribosomal RNA". It matches the Rfam family "Eukaryotic large subunit ribosomal RNA", at positions 1 to 503 of the family's 3401-position model. The record is from RNAcentral. Lineage: Eukaryota; Fungi; Ascomycota; Sordariomycetes; Hypocreales; Nectriaceae.